GAGUUUGAUCAUGGCUCAGAUUGAACGCUGGCGGCAGGCCUAACACAUGCAAGUCGAGCGGAUGACGGGAGCUUGCUCCUUGAUUCAGCGGCGGACGGGUGAGUAAUGCCUAGGAAUCUGCCUGGUAGUGGGGGGACAACGUUUCGAAAGGAACGCUAAUACCGCAUACGUCCUACGGGAGAAAGCAGGGGACCUUCGGGCCUUGCGCU
RNAcentral lists this ribosomal RNA (209 nucleotides) under bacterium enrichment culture clone ALO1_GLFRUDD03GDEKQ. RNAcentral's name for it is "partial 16S ribosomal RNA". It matches the Rfam family "Bacterial small subunit ribosomal RNA", at positions 9 to 219 of the family's 1533-position model. The record is from RNAcentral.